CAGUGAUAUGGAAUAAGUGUUCAAAGAAUGGUUGUUUUUAUUUUCAUUUUCUGUUUUGGUCCGAAGAAAACAUUUAGAAUAACUGGAGAAUUGAAUAUGUUCUUCAAGCAUUUCUACACAUUUACUAGUUCUCAUAAUGAGGCUAUUAUUGAGAAGUUAUACAACAAAUGGUUGAAGUUGUCAUUUCUGCCAAGAACCUGCAGUGCAGAUAUGGAAGAAACAGAGGUCAUACCUAAAGACUCCUACAUGGCUUUGAUGACAUAA
Molecule: long non-coding RNA, 264 nt
Filed under: Pan paniscus (pygmy chimpanzee)
Lineage: Eukaryota; Metazoa; Chordata; Mammalia; Primates; Hominidae
Description: lncRNA (ENSPPAG00000044293.1)
Source: RNAcentral